GACCUGGUGUUGAAUGGUUCACACCCACUCCCCUUGGUGUCGAUCCAUGAUAUAUAGUUGUCCGGGAGUCCCCGGUUCGAAUCCGGGCCAGGUCU
Non-coding RNA from Mycena polygramma, 95 nucleotides. The record is from the annotation of a GenBank genome assembly. NCBI's taxonomy places the organism in Eukaryota, Fungi, Basidiomycota, Agaricomycetes, Agaricales, Mycenaceae.